RNAcentral lists this transfer RNA (60 nucleotides) under Sinergasilus undulatus. RNAcentral describes it as "tRNA-Lys". Lineage: Eukaryota; Metazoa; Arthropoda; Copepoda; Poecilostomatoida; Ergasilidae. The record is from RNAcentral.
UCCCAGAAAAUCUAUAAGAUAUUAAGUUUUUACCUUAAAUAAGGCUAAGGCCUCUGAGAA